RNAcentral lists this transfer RNA (88 nucleotides) under Mesoflavibacter zeaxanthinifaciens. It matches the Rfam family "tRNA". From Rfam's summary of the family: Transfer RNA (tRNA) molecules are approximately 80 nucleotides in length. Their secondary structure includes four short double-helical elements and three loops (D, anti-codon, and T loops). RNAcentral also lists the same sequence under 5 other names. Lineage: Bacteria; Pseudomonadati; Bacteroidota; Flavobacteriia; Flavobacteriales; Flavobacteriaceae. The record is from RNAcentral.
AGAGAGGUGGCCGAGUGGUUUAAGGCGCACGCCUGGAAAGUGUGUAUAUGUUAAUAGCGUAUCGAGGGUUCGAAUCCCUUCCUCUCUG